CUCCUACGGGAGGCAGCAGUGGGGAAUAUUGCACAAUGGAGGAAACUCUGAUGCAGCGACGCCGCGUGAGGGAAGAAGGUCUUCGGAUUGUAAACCUCUGUUGUCAGGGACGAUAAUGACGGUACCUGACGAGGAAGCCACGGCUAACUACGUGCCAGCAGCCGCGGUAAAACGUAGGUGGCAAGCGUUGUCCGGAAUUACUGGGUGUAAAGGGAGCGCAGGCGGGAGAGCAAGUUGGAAGUGAAAUCUGUGGGCUCUACUCACAAAUUGCUUUCAAAACUGUUUUUCUUGAGUGGUGUAGAGGUAGGCGGAAUUCCCGGUGUAGCGGUGGAAUGCGUAGAUAUCGGGAGG
RNAcentral lists this ribosomal RNA (351 nucleotides) under uncultured bacterium. Its description in RNAcentral is "bacterial SSU rRNA". It matches the Rfam family "Bacterial small subunit ribosomal RNA", at positions 336 to 704 of the family's 1533-position model. The record is from RNAcentral.